CAACUGUGUGAAUUAAUGCAAACUGCAUACUGCUUUGAACAUCGACAUCUUGAACGCAUAUUGCGGCCAUGGGUUAGCCUGUGGCCACGCCUGUCCGAGGGUCGGCUUAUAAACUAUCACGACGCCCAAAAAGUCGUGGCUUGGGUUUUGCCAGCUGGCGUGAUCUCCUCUAUGAGUAAUCAUGUGAGGUGCCAGAUCUAUGGCGUUUCCCUAAUGUAUCCGGAUGCACCCUUGUCUUGGCAGAAAGCCGUGGUGAGGUGCAGUGGCGGAAUCGUGGUUUAAUAAUCGGGUUGGUACUCAGUUGUCAGUGUGUUYGGCGAUCCCCUAGUCGGCACACUYAUGAUUUCUGGGAUAAUUCCAUACCAGGCACGUUCCGUYACUGUYACUUUGUCAUUGGUUUGAUGCUGAACUUGGUCAUGUGUCUGAUGCUAUUUCAUAUARCGACGGUACCCUUCGUGGUCUGUCUUCCUGACCUCGGUUCAGACGUGAUUACCCGCUGAACUUAAGCAUAUCACUAA
RNAcentral lists this ribosomal RNA (518 nucleotides) under Fasciola sp. Khanh.Ct.4. RNAcentral describes it as "eukaryotic LSU rRNA". The stretch from base 1 to 104 matches the Rfam family "5.8S ribosomal RNA", at positions 50 to 154 of the family's 154-position model. Lineage: Eukaryota; Metazoa; Platyhelminthes; Trematoda; Plagiorchiida; Fasciolidae. The record is from RNAcentral.